UAUAAGCACAAUGAAUUUCGUAACAUCGUGUGUAUUAGCAGUGUUCGUAUCGCUGGUGUACUGUGAAAUUAAAGAUAAAGAAGUGGUUCUCAUCUCACCCCUGUUAGCUCCUAAUGGUAGAGAAGAAAGAGCAAAAGAUUUUCCCAUACUUUUAUUAUUGUCAGAUAAAAACGUUAAUGAUGUAAAGGAGAUGAAAAGCAAUUAUACGCAAAUCAUUUACCGUGUGCAGAAGUUGGAUCAUCAGUAAGAAGAUAAAGGAAGAUUACAUAAAUAGAAGUCAUACAAGACGGUCCAACUCUAUCAUCUGUCAAAUGCUCUUUGGAUUUUGAAUUACAUGACUAAAAUCAUAAGGGGCCUAUUUGAAACAGAAAUGUCCCACCUGAAUAUGGUUAUAUAUGGAAAAGCGCUGCAUUUAAUACACUAAUUAUCGUUUUAGGUAAAGCAAAAUAUAAAGUAUCAAUUUUGAAGGAGUAGAGGUUCAACAAUUUUGAUUUGUGUGUGAAAUGUUUGCGAGAUCAAAUUUGGCAUCUAUCGCUUUUACACUAUUAGACGUGAAAACACUAUAUUUAUAUUUUAAGUACAUUAUGUAUAAUUAAUGCUGUAGUUAAAUAUGCCUUUUUUGUUUGUAAAAGAUUCAAAAUUAAUAUUAAAGUCUCACCAUUUAAUUGUACAAUUAUCAAGAUUAUUUCGCAUUAGCCGUGAAACAGACCCUUGAAAAUUUAUUAUUUGCAGCCUUGGAAAUGUAGGCUUCAUGCUGAGACUCUUUUGUUAUACAUAAAAUUUACUUGGUGUUGAUUAUUUGUAUACAGAUAUUUUAUUGUUUUGCUUUAGUAAGUAAAUACGGCCGUUUUAAAUAAUAAAAUACAUUAGUGGAAAAACAGUUGACACAUGAUAAAUAUAAAAAGAUUUUGCGGUAUUUACCCAAAUCUACUACAGAUUUUUAUCAAUAAAAUAACGAAUAACAAAACAAUAAAUGUCAAUUAUAAGGACAAAGUUUAAAAAUAUGUAUUUUUGUGGAAAUUCCGUAAUGACUUUGAUAAAUUAAAUCAUAAAUUAUAACAUCUUGACAACAUCAUUUAACAUGUUAAAUCAAUAAAAAAUUGAAAUAAAACGAUUGAAGUUAUUACAAAAAAUAUUGACCUUUAGUAUCAAUGAAUUUGGAUUCUUCUUAUAAUUCAUAGUAGUAUUAGGUAACCUACAAAGUAAACUUAGAUACUGCCCGUUAUUACGAAUCAUCUAUUAAUGAGACAAUCAUGUCACAGUAUGGCUUGGCCGUGGGGUUUAAGUUCACAGGCGCUAAUUAAAGAUUAAAGAUGGCGCCUGGUAGACAGUUCCGGUGACCCUAGAGCUGAUACUUUGAUUGCUAAACGACUAAGGGCCUGUUUCACAAUGUAUGGAUAAAGUGCCAAAUA
Long non-coding RNA from Pieris rapae (cabbage white), 1412 nucleotides. RefSeq lists it as uncharacterized. Lineage: Eukaryota; Metazoa; Arthropoda; Insecta; Lepidoptera; Pieridae. The transcript has 4 exons. The record is from RefSeq and is a predicted model, not a curated record.